This 288-nucleotide unclassified non-coding RNA is filed under the name plant metagenome. Its description in RNAcentral is "partial contains small subunit ribosomal RNA, internal transcribed spacer 1, and 5.8S ribosomal RNA". The stretch from base 1 to 51 matches the Rfam family "Eukaryotic small subunit ribosomal RNA", at positions 1778 to 1831 of the family's 1831-position model. The record is from RNAcentral.
GGAAGUAAAAGUAACAAGGUUUCCGUAGGUGAACCUGCGGAAGGAUCAUUAAUGAGUUGUCAUGGGGUUCGAUGCUGGCAGCCAAUUUUUGGAUGCAUGUGCUUGCCCUAACAAUCAUCUUCCAAACACCUGUGCACAUUUUUGAGGGAGUCUUGAGUUGGUUGCCGCUCUUGGGUGAUUUUCUCACAUUCCCUUAAAUCAUUAUACGCUAUUAACAAUGUUGAACGUGCUCUGUGCCGCAAGGCUAUUAAUAUAAUACAACUUUUAACAACGGAUCUCUUGGCUCUC